GCUCAAAUUUGAAAUCCUGCGGGAAUUGUAAUUUGAAGGUUUCGUGGUCUGAGUCGGCCGCGCCCAAGUCCAUUGGAACAUGGCGCCUGGGAGGGUGAGAGCCCCGUAUGGCGCACGCCGACUCUUUGCACCGCGGCUCCGACGAGUCGAGUUGUUUGGGAAUGCAGCUCUAAGUGGGUGGUAAAUUCCAUCUAAAGCUAAAUAUUGGCGAGAGACCGAUAGCGAACAAGUACAGUGAUGGAAAGAUGAAAAGCACUUUGAAAAGAGAGUGAAACAGCACGUGAAAUUGUUGAAAGGGAAGGGCUUGCAAGCAGACACGGUUUUACCGGGCCAGCGUCGAAAAGGGGGGAGGAACAAGAACUCGAGAAUGUGGCGCGCACCUUCGGGUGUGCGUGUUAUAGCUCGUGUUGACGCCUCCAUCCCUUUUCGAGGCCUGCGAUUCUAGGACGCUGGCGUAAUGGUUGCAAGCCGCCCGUCUUGAAACACGGACCAAAA
Molecule: ribosomal RNA, 495 nt
Filed under: Clavispora lusitaniae
Lineage: Eukaryota; Fungi; Ascomycota; Pichiomycetes; Serinales; Metschnikowiaceae
Description: eukaryotic LSU rRNA
Rfam family: Eukaryotic large subunit ribosomal RNA
Source: RNAcentral